RNAcentral lists this transfer RNA (72 nucleotides) under Bos taurus (domestic cattle). It matches the Rfam family "tRNA". Rfam says of the family: Transfer RNA (tRNA) molecules are approximately 80 nucleotides in length. Their secondary structure includes four short double-helical elements and three loops (D, anti-codon, and T loops). RNAcentral also lists the same sequence under 4 other names. The record is from Rfam by way of RNAcentral. Lineage: Eukaryota; Metazoa; Chordata; Mammalia; Artiodactyla; Bovidae.
UCUCUGGUGGCUCAGAUGGUAAAGAAUCUGCCUGCGAUGCAGGAGACCCAGGUUCGAUCCCUGGUUUGGAAA